CGGGUGAGUAACGCGUGAGGAACCUGCCUCAAAGAGGGGGACAACAGUUGGAAACGACUGCUAAUACCACAUAAGCCCACGGCUCGGCAUCGAGCAGAGGGAAAAGGAGCAAUCCGCUUUGAGAUGGCCUCGCGUCCGAUUAGCUAGUUGGUGAGGUAACGGCCCACCAAGGCGACGAUCGGUAGCCGGACUGAGAGGUUGAACGGCCACAUUGGGACUGAGACACGGCCCAG
RNAcentral lists this ribosomal RNA (233 nucleotides) under uncultured bacterium. RNAcentral's name for it is "partial 16S ribosomal RNA". It matches the Rfam family "Bacterial small subunit ribosomal RNA", at positions 103 to 334 of the family's 1533-position model. The record is from RNAcentral.